UACGAACCACACUAACGUUAUUCGGAAUCACUGGGCUUAAAGGGUGCGUAGGCUGCGCAGAAAGUUGGGUGUGAAAUCCCUCGGCUCAACCGAGGAACUGCGCCCAAAACUACUGUGCUCGAGGGAGAUAGAGGUGAGCGGAACUUAGGGUGGAGCGGUGAAAUGCGUUGAUAUCCUAAGGAACACCCGUGGCGAAAGCGGCUCACUGGAUCUCUUCUGACGCUGAGGCACGAAAGCUAGGGUAGCGAACGGG
RNAcentral lists this ribosomal RNA (253 nucleotides) under uncultured bacterium. Its description in RNAcentral is "partial 16S ribosomal RNA". It matches the Rfam family "Bacterial small subunit ribosomal RNA", at positions 524 to 776 of the family's 1533-position model. The record is from RNAcentral.